AUGUCAUCCCAUGGAGAAUUUAAUGAAAGAAAUCUACAGAAGGGCUCCAUCUACCCAUCUAUUGUCUUUCCUCCUUGUCCAGAGGAGAAGCAAGGAUGCACAUCUGUGCAGCGAGCACCAGGAUCUCCUCCUUUGGCUCUGGUGGUGUGGGAUCUGCCAAAAUUGGCGGUGGCGGUGGUGCUGGUGGCGGGGAAGGAGGAGGAACUAAAGGAGCUUUCUGUUGAGGCUCCGGAUUUUUUGGGUGUUUCUCUCUUUUCGGCCUCCGCUUUUGGGCCUAAAUGGGAAGCACUAUCCUGGAGCUCAUUCCAACGCGGCGGAAGCGGGUCUUGGGGCUUCGCGAAGGCGGCGGCUAAGCGUGAGGGAGGUAAGAACUGCGCCUGCGCCGCCGCCGCCGCCGCCGCCGCUCUGGCAGAUGGCGAAUACUGCCCAGAGGUGAAACUAAAAACAACAGGAUUAGAGGCGGCGGCCAAGGCAGAGACCGCAAAGGGAAAUGGUGAAGCUGAGGACCAGGAAGAGAAAGAAGACCCUGAGAAAGAAAACAUUGAAAAAGAAGAUGAUGUAGAUCAGCAACUUGCGAACAUAGACCCGAGGUGGAUAGAAUCACCUAAAACCAAUGGCCAUCAUGGAAAUGGCCCAUUCUUACUGGAGCAGCAACUGGACGAUGAAGAGGAUAAUGAAGAAGACUGCCCAAAUCCUUAGGAAUAUAAUCUUGAUGAGCCAAAUGCAGAAAGUGAUUACACAUACAGCAGCUCCUAUGAACAAUUCAACAGUGAAUUGCCAAAUGGAUGGCAUAAAAUUCCCGAGUCACAGUUUCCAGAGUUUUCCACCUCGUUGUUCUCUGGAUCCUUAGAACCUGUGGCCUGCGGCUCUGUGCUUUCUGAGGGAUCACCACUUACUGAGCAAAGGGAAAGCAGUCCGUCCCAUGACAAAAGCAGGACGGUUUCAGCCUCCAGUACUGGGGAUUUGCCAAAAGCAAAAACCCAGGAGGCUGACUUGUUGGUGAACCCCCUGGAUCCACGAAAUGCUGAUAAAAUUAGAGUAGAAAUUGCUGACCUGGGAAAUGCUUGUUGGGUGCGUAAACACUUCACAGAAAACAUCCAGAUGCGUCAGCACCGUUCCGUAGAGGUUUUAAUAGGAACGGGAUACAACAGCACCCCUGCGGACAUCUGGAGCACGGCAUGUACGGCAUUUGAGCUGGCAACGGGCGAUUAUGUUUGAACCACAUUCUGGGGAAGACUAUUCCAGAGACGAAGAUCACAUAGCAUUGAUCAUUGAACUGCGGGGGAAAGUCCCUCGAAAAUACGCUAUGUUGGGGAAAUGUUUCAAGGAGUUUUUCACCAGAAAAGGAGAACUGCGACAUGACCGAGCCGAAGCCCUGAUGCCCUUUUGAUGUACUUGUGGAGAACUAUGGCUGGCCCCAUGAAGAUACUGCACAGUUUACAGAUUUCCUGAUCCCGAUGUUAGAGAUGGUUCCCGAAAAAACGAGCCUCCGCUGGCUAAUGCCUUCGGCAUCCUUGGUUGAAUUCUUAG
Mandrillus leucophaeus (drill) is the source of this 1530-nucleotide RNA transcript. It is a transcript of the gene named SRSF protein kinase 2 pseudogene, with no coding region annotated. The transcript is spliced from 3 exons. NCBI's taxonomy places the organism in Eukaryota, Metazoa, Chordata, Mammalia, Primates, Cercopithecidae. The record is from RefSeq and is a predicted model, not a curated record.